RNAcentral lists this ribosomal RNA (465 nucleotides) under uncultured Klebsiella sp. RNAcentral describes it as "bacterial SSU rRNA". It matches the Rfam family "Bacterial small subunit ribosomal RNA", at positions 338 to 795 of the family's 1533-position model. The record is from RNAcentral. Lineage: Bacteria; Pseudomonadati; Pseudomonadota; Gammaproteobacteria; Enterobacterales; Enterobacteriaceae.
CCUACGGGUGGCUGCAGUGGGGAAUAUUGCACAAUGGGCGCAAGCCUGAUGCAGCCAUGCCGCGUGUGUGAAGAAGGCCUUCGGGUUGUAAAGCACUUUCAGCGGGGAGGAAGGCGUUCAGGUUAAUAACCUUGGCGAUUGACGUUACCCGCAGAAGAAGCACCGGCUAACUCCGUGCCAGCAGCCGCGGUAAUACGGAGGGUGCAAGCGUUAAUCGGAAUUACUGGGCGUAAAGCGCACGCAGGCGGUCUGUCACGUCGGAUGUGAAAUCCCCGGGCUCAACCUGGGAACUGCAUUCGAAACUGGCAGGCUAGAGUCUUGUAGAGGGGGGUAGAAUUCCAGGUGUAGCGGUGAAAUGCGUAGAGAUCUGGAGGAAUACCGGUGGCGAAGGCGGCCCCCUGGACAAAGACUGACGCUCAGGUGCGAAAGCGUGGGGAGCAAACAGGAUUAGAUACCCCGGUAGUC